GGUAAUGUGGCCGAGUGGUCUAAGGCACUGGAUUUAGGCUCUAGUCUCGAAAGAGGCAUGGGUUUUAAUCCCACCACUACCA
This 82-nucleotide transfer RNA is filed under the name Danionella translucida. It matches the Rfam family "tRNA". From Rfam's summary of the family: Transfer RNA (tRNA) molecules are approximately 80 nucleotides in length. Their secondary structure includes four short double-helical elements and three loops (D, anti-codon, and T loops). Further hydrogen bonds mediate the characteristic L-shaped molecular structure. tRNAs have two regions of fundamental functional importance: the anti-codon, which is responsible for specific mRNA codon recognition, and the 3' end, to which the tRNAs corresponding amino acid is attached (by aminoacyl-tRNA synthetases). tRNAs cope with the degeneracy of the genetic code in two manners: having more than one tRNA (with a specific anti-codon) for a particular amino acid; and 'wobble' base-pairing, i.e. permitting non-standard base-pairing at the 3rd anti-codon position. Lineage: Eukaryota; Metazoa; Chordata; Actinopteri; Cypriniformes; Danionidae. The record is from Rfam by way of RNAcentral. RNAcentral also lists the same sequence under 1 other name.